GACGGCGCGAAAAAUCGAAAGCAAAAAAAUUAAAAAUUGUUUUAGCAAUUUGUAAUGGUGUUGCCUUUAAGGUUGCUAAUAACCAGCAACCUAACUUCCACGGUUGUUCGCCCACAUAUUCACCCAACACUGCAGCAAGUAUAUGCUACUGUUACACCAUUACUGCGAAGAUCGAUUGUGUCAGACAUAUACGAGUAAAAUGUAAUAUAUAUAUUUCUGUAGUAAUGUCAGCUUAUACACCAGCCGCGUACGAUACCUGCUGGUUCCGUAAAAGUUGAAAUUUGUGGAGUAUGUGGAAACAUAGACAACAUGGCACGAGUUUGAAUGUAGACCUUGAAACUACAUGGCAACCAACAAAUAGAGUAUUGCCUAUGCUAGGCAGAGCUUUAAAGCGCCUAGCAUUGCACCCUAAAUGAAGGCAUCUUGUUACUUGUGUAUAUGAAUUUGAAAUAACGAACUGCAUUUGCUUUCGAAAAGAAUGUAUGUGUUUUUAAAGUACUUUUAGAAAUGGGACUUAAACGUCGCUCUACAGGUAGUAAAAAUAUAAACUGAAUGUGCUAACUUUUCUGACAGUAACAACGGUCUCUCAUAUGUUGUUGAUGUAAUUAUAUAAUACUAACGCAGCAUGCAGCAAAGAUGUUUGUAACAUCUUAAACUAAUAUUAAUAUAUAUAUGUAUAUAUGUCUGUCUGUCCGUUCGUGAAACAGAAUUAUGAACUUCAUACAACGGUUAAUAACUAACAAAAUAAGUCAGAAAAUAGGUGCGCAACUUUUAUUGAAUAAGUGUUAAAAUUAGAAAAAAAACGGUUCAGGAUUUCUGCUAAUUUCCAUUAUUCUGUUUGGCUUUUUUACCCUUGCAUUAUAAAUAAUGUAUAAUUAUUAAACAAUUAAAUUUUUUAAUAGAGUUUUGCUCAUAACUCUAAACAUUUCACACGCAUUUAAUAGUUACUAUUUGGGUAUAUCGUCACCUGCGAUGCAAACUAACGCCAUUUUCAUAAGUUUAGUGGAAUAAAAAAGUGUAUACAUAUAUAAAACACAUAUUGAAAUAAAAUUUUAAUUUCGGUUAUAAGUUGAAGAUUAAAAUUGUGUACAUGUAGGUAGUAUGAUGUAGUGUUUCGUAAUAAAUUAAAAAAUGUAUUUCGAAUUUUUUAUGUUACUUUGCUUUUCAUUUUAGGUGACGGUAUACAAUUUGCGAGUCUAAGUCCGAACUUAGCACUAUCAUUUUGGUUAUGAAGGUAUCAUAGCUAGAAGCUUUAUUUAGCUUUGUAUAGCUAUAUAUUGCGUACAAGAUGAAUUAUCAAAAUAUUUUGUAUAAACAAUAAAAUAAUAAUUAUACUAGUCCAAAGCACGCUGCAGCACCGCGAAUACGCGGUAGGUCAUCGUCAUUACCUGAGGUCGCCAACGAUAUAGGCUGAAAUCCUUUCGCGGUCAGUCGAGCUGGUUUCUGCGCACGUGCAAUUAUGUUAAAUAAUAAGGUUUUGUAUGUUUGUGAGCCGUUAUACCAACGGUUUUUGUAUGCACAUAGUGCUAAGUUUUCACUCUAAAAGUAUAAAAAUAAUUACGACACGCAUAAAAGUUCAUAACACUGUUAAAUACGUUACGGGUGCAAUAAAACUGCUUGCUGACUAUGGAAUUUUAGGUAAAACAUGUCAAAAUUUGUAGAUGUCUUACUAACUUAACUAAUUGUUUUAAUAAUUUAAAAUAUGUUAAUUGUUCGAAGCAGAAGCACCAUUACACCCGAUAACAGAAUAAUUACGAUUAUAGGAACUUACAAUUGUAAUCAGCUUCUGUCCAUAUUGACAUACCAUAAAGAAUUGGGCAACAGUAACGAAAAAGAAGCUGAGAAAAUUUAAAAAUCCGAAACCAAAGCCCUCCAAUUUCAGUUGAACAACAAUUAUGCAAAAUACGGCGCAGUUUGAUAUUAAUUUAAAUAAUAGAGUUGUUCCAAAAACUUCAUUUAGUUCGCUACAAAGACUGUAAAUUAAAUAAAUAUAAAAUUUUAAUUUUAAUAUUAAUACAUGUAUUAUAAAAAUAUAUUACCAUAAGUACUACUAGUACUCAUUCACAAACCGAGAAUUUACUAUGUUCAUAUGGUAUAAUGUAUAUUUGUUUACAGGCAUCAUAUUUUAUGAGAUUGAUUACAAAAUAAAAUAUGAAAUAUAACUUACUCCAACAUUAA
This is a long non-coding RNA of Bactrocera dorsalis (oriental fruit fly), 2178 nucleotides long. RefSeq lists it as uncharacterized. The record is from RefSeq and is a predicted model, not a curated record. Lineage: Eukaryota; Metazoa; Arthropoda; Insecta; Diptera; Tephritidae. The transcript has 3 exons.